This 329-nucleotide ribosomal RNA is filed under the name uncultured eukaryote. RNAcentral describes it as "partial 18S ribosomal RNA". It matches the Rfam family "Eukaryotic small subunit ribosomal RNA", at positions 1470 to 1796 of the family's 1831-position model. The record is from RNAcentral.
CCCUUAGAUGUUCUGGGCUGCACGCGCGCUACACUGAUGCGUUCAACGAGUUUAUGACCUUGCCCGAUAGGGUUGGGUAAUCUUUUUAAAUCGCAUCGUGAUGGGGAUAGAUUAUUGCAAUUAUUAAUCUUCAACGAGGAAUUCCUAGUAAGCGCGAGUCAUCAGCUCGUGCUGAUUACGUCCCUGCCCUUUGUACACACCGCCCGUCGCUCCUACCGAUUGAACGUUUUAGUGAGGUAUUUGGACUGGACCUUCGGAGGUUCGCGCCUCCGUUGCUGUUCGGGAAGACUCCCAAACUUGAGCGUUUAGAGGAAGUAAAAGUCGUAACA